UUACGUCUGACGUCACAGCGUAGCCAUUUCUGAACGCGCCGUAGUCCCAGUAUCUACCGUCGCGUGCUGUGGAAAAAGAAAAUAAUCUAAAAUUUGUGAAGAUUUGUGAUGUUUUAUGAACUAAGAAAGCUUAUUUAGCAAGUGAAGUUAUAUUUAAUUCUUUAUUAGUUAGAUAUAUCAAGAACAACAAUAAUAACAGGCGGAUUGUACGCUUAGUAAGGUGCUUUGUUUAUUCAGUACUUAGAAGUGUAGUAUUUAUCUAACUGAUAUUGUUUUUUUGCAGCUAAUAUAAUGACUAAUGCGCUUUAUUUUGAAGUUAUAGAGAGCUUGUGUACAUUUAUAAUGGUUACAGUGAAGUUUUGUUGGCUAGGUUAGGACUCUUAUCCUUUUUGUACUAUUAAAAGUUAAAUGUUUAAAAUUUGCGUCUGUUUGCAGGAACAGUUCUGCAUCCUGUCCAUCACUGCACUCCUGAGGGUUGCCAUUUAUUCUGUUUGUUUAAGCGGACCUACAACCGUCCAGACGCUCUGAAUGACAGCCUGAAGGAUCAUCAUAAGAUCCUUUCCUGUCCUGGGUUUCGCCUGUGAAGACUUCAUUUGUUGUUUAAACACAACACUAUAAACCAACAUGAAGAACAAAGCACUGUCUAUGGGAGAAAAGAAAGACAUUGUGAAGCUGAAAGAAGAGGGAAAAUCGAUCAGGGCCAUUUCAAAGGCAUUGGGCAUAGCCAAAUCAACGAUUUGGAAUGUCCUGAAAAAGCAAGAAACCACCGGGUUACUAACAGCCAAACAUCGAACUGGUCGGCCGAGGAAAACAACAGCAGUUGAUGACAGAAACAUUGUGAGAGCUUUGCAGGAAAACCCAGAAACAACAGUCAGUGACAUCACCAACAAUCUCCACAUGGCAGGGGUGAAGGUAUCACAAUCCACCGUUCGACGAAGACUUUGGGAGCAGAAAUAUCUAUUCCGUUACAUAAGUUUCAAACCACUCGUCAGCACUGACACGGACGGAUUGGAACGUACAGAGGAUACAGAGAUGAGAGAUAUAAAACAAGAGCAGUGUGAUGAAUUGUGGCAGCAGACAGAAUGUGUCUAUAAUGACUCCUCGGACUCGAAUGAUGACAGGUCAAACAAAGACGUGACAUGUGAAGAAACAGAAGGUGAAGCUUCUGUGGAGCUUCCAGGUGUAGCUAGCAUUGGCACGCAGACGCCCUGUACAUCGGGUUUAUUGACUAGGACUACAUGAAACUAUGUUUAUAUUUCCAUCAUUCCAGUAUGGCAUUAAUGAUCAUUGUUUAAUCUGACAUGAACAUGUUAUUGCACAGUCUGUUAUAUUCUUAUUGUACUGUGUGACAUGUAAUUAGCCUAUUGUAAAAGCCCGCUGUCAUUUUGUGCAUAAACCAAUAAAUAGAUUAGUCAGUGUAAUGCAUAAAACUUAGUUUGUCGAAGUAAUAGUCAACAUUAAAAGCAACAUGUUAAAUGUUA
Ictalurus punctatus (channel catfish) is the source of this 1481-nucleotide long non-coding RNA. RefSeq lists it as uncharacterized. The record is from RefSeq and is a predicted model, not a curated record. The transcript is spliced from 3 exons. Lineage: Eukaryota; Metazoa; Chordata; Actinopteri; Siluriformes; Ictaluridae.